This 362-nucleotide ribosomal RNA is filed under the name uncultured bacterium. RNAcentral describes it as "partial 16S ribosomal RNA". It matches the Rfam family "Bacterial small subunit ribosomal RNA", at positions 338 to 693 of the family's 1533-position model. The record is from RNAcentral.
CCUACGGGUGGCAGCAGUAGGGAAUGUUCGUCAAUGGGCGCAAGCCUGAACGAGCAAUGCCGCGUGAAAGAGGAAGGUCUUCGGAUCGUAAAGUUCUGUUGAAGGGGAAAAAGAGCGGAGAGAGGAAAUGCUUUCUGAUUGAUAUUACCCUUCGAGGAAGGCACGGCUAACUACGUGCCAGCAGCCGCGGUAAUACGUAGGUGGCGAGCGUUAUCCGGAAUGCUUGGGCGUAAAGGGUGCGUAGGCGGCCUGCUAAGUCUGGGGUGAAAGGUACCGGCUCAACCGGUACAGGCUCUGGGAACUGGCGGGCUUGCGUGCAGGAGUGGGCGGUUGCACUCCCUGUGUCACUGUCCCAUGCUUCG